This 442-nucleotide ribosomal RNA is filed under the name uncultured bacterium. RNAcentral's name for it is "partial 16S ribosomal RNA". It matches the Rfam family "Bacterial small subunit ribosomal RNA", at positions 338 to 795 of the family's 1533-position model. The record is from RNAcentral.
CCUACGGGGGGCAGCAGUGGGGAAUAUUGGGCAAUGGGCGCAAGCCUGACCCAGCAACGCCGCGUGAAGGAAGAAGGCUUUCGGGUUGUAAACUUCUUUUUUCAGGGAAGAGUAGAAGACGGUACCUGACGAAUAAGCCACGGCUAACUACGUGCCAGCAGACGCGGUAAUACGUAGGUGGCAAGCGUUUUCCGGAAUUACUGGGUGUAAAGGGCGUGUAGCCGGGUUGACAAGUCAGAUGUGAAAUCCUGCGGCUUAACCGCAGAACUGCAUUUGAAACUGUUGAUCUUGAGUACUGGAGAGGCAGAUGGAAUGCGUAGUGUAGCGGUGAAAUGCGUAGAUAUUAGGAGGAACACCAGUGGCGAAGGCGGUCUGCUGGACAGCAACUGACGGUGAGGCGCGAAAGCGUGGGGAGCAAACAGGAUUAGAUACCCUUGUAGUC